This 148-nucleotide small RNA is filed under the name Papio anubis (olive baboon). RNAcentral's name for it is "Metazoan signal recognition particle RNA (ENSPANG00000047868.1)". RNAcentral also lists the same sequence under 1 other name. The record is from Rfam by way of RNAcentral. Lineage: Eukaryota; Metazoa; Chordata; Mammalia; Primates; Cercopithecidae.
GCUGGGUGUGGUGGCGUGCACCUGUAAUCCCAGCUACUUGGGAGGCUGAGGCAGGAGAAUCGCUUGAGCCUGGGAAGCGGAGGCUGCAGUGAGCCAAGAUUGCAUCACUGCACUCUAGCCUGGGCAACAGAGCAAGACUCUGUUUCAA